This 460-nucleotide ribosomal RNA is filed under the name uncultured bacterium. Its description in RNAcentral is "partial 16S ribosomal RNA". It matches the Rfam family "Bacterial small subunit ribosomal RNA", at positions 338 to 795 of the family's 1533-position model. The record is from RNAcentral.
CCUACGGGUGGCAGCAGUGAGGAAUAUUGGUCAAUGGACGAGAGUCUGAACCAGCCAAGUAGCGUGAAGGAUGACUGCCCUAUGGGUUGUAAACUUCUUUUAUAUGGGAAUAAAACGUUCCACGUGUGGGAUUUUGUAUGUACCAUAUGAAUAAGGAUCGGCUAACUCCGUGCCAGCAGCCGCGGUAAUACGGAGGAUCCGAGCGUUAUCCGGAUUUAUUGGGUUUAAAGGGAGCGUAGGUGGAUUGUUAAGUCAGUUGUGAAAGUUUGCGGCUCAACCGUAAAAUUGCAGUUGAAACUGGCAGUCUUGAGUACAGUAGAGGUGGGCGGAAUGCGUGGUGUAGCGGUGAAAUGCUUAGAUAUCACGAAGAACUCCGAUUGCGAAGGCAGUUCACUGGACUGCAACUGACACUGAGGCUCGAAAGUGUGGGUAUCAAACAGGAUUAGAUACCCCUGUGGUC